RNAcentral lists this ribosomal RNA (253 nucleotides) under uncultured bacterium. RNAcentral describes it as "partial 16S ribosomal RNA". It matches the Rfam family "Bacterial small subunit ribosomal RNA", at positions 524 to 776 of the family's 1533-position model. The record is from RNAcentral.
UACGUAGGGGGCAAGUGUUGUCCGGAUUUACUGGGCGUAAAGAGCGUGUAGGCGGCUAGAUAGGUCCGUUGUGAAAACUCGAGGCUCAACCUCGAGACGUCGAUGGAAACCAUCUGGCUAGAGUCCGGAAGAGGAGAGUGGAAUUCCUGGUGUAGCGGUGAAAUGCGCAGAUAUCAGGAAGAACACCCGUGGCGAAGGUGGCUCUCUGGGACGGUACUGACGCUGAGACGCGAAAGCGUGGGGAGCGAACAGG